RNA transcript from Sebastes umbrosus (honeycomb rockfish), 1341 nucleotides. It is a transcript of the gene named BRMS1 transcriptional repressor and anoikis regulator, with no coding region annotated. The transcript is spliced from 10 exons. Lineage: Eukaryota; Metazoa; Chordata; Actinopteri; Perciformes; Sebastidae. The record is from RefSeq and is a predicted model, not a curated record.
GUCAGUCCGACAUCACGGCUCGGCGCUGAUUGGUUGAUUCUCCUGGUUGUAGAGUCCGGCAAAGUGUCGAAGUGAAGCCUGAAGAAGUGAAGAGGAAGUACUUUUAUAAAGAAAAGGAAAUAUAGAAAAUGCUACUUUAACUUUUUGCAGCGGAGCAGAGGGAGAAGCCAGCCAUGCCAGCUCAACCCCCUGUGAGGGAGCCAGAAGAGGAGAUGGAGGCAGAAGGAGAAUCACAACUCCCUGAGGCCAACGGAGAGGUGGAGCAACCCAGAGAGGAUGAAAGAGGAGGUGGAGGAGGAGAGGAGACCAUGGAGGAGAGCACGGAGGAGAGGGACAGCGACUUGGAUGAUAGUGAAGAUGAGGAAGAGGAGGAGGAAGAGGAGAGUUCAGAGAUGGAUGAUGAAGACUGUGAGCGGAGGAGAGGGGAAUGUCUAGACGAGAUGUUGGAUUUGGAAAAACAAUUUCAGGAGCUGAAAGAGAAGUUGUUUCGCGAGCGGCAGAACCAGGUGAAAGUGAAGCUGGACGAGGUGCUGACAGGGAAGGCUGGAGAAUACAGAGAACCACUGGUUGGACUACAGGACAGCAUGCAGAUACAAACACAAGUAGCUGGAGUGUACAGAGAGCUGUGUCUACAGGUGAUCCGACACAAGUACGAGUGUGAACAACAAGGAGCAAAGCAGCACCUGGAGAGCGAGCGGACGUUGCUGUUUGAUGCCAUGAAGACUGAACUGCUGGAGAAGAUAAGACGACUGGAGGAGGACAGACAGAAUAUAGACCUCACCUCAGAGUGGAGUGAUGAGCUGAGGGGAAAGAAGUGUAAAAGAAAGAACGUGCUGGGUCGGUCGGAGAGGAAAAAGAAAGUGGCUCUGGUUUCAGGACCUUUCAUCGUCUACAUGUUGAGAGACAUUGACAUCCUUGAAGACUGGACCGCUAUCAAGAAGGUAAAAAAGGAGUAGCUCCUUUUCUUCAGCUCCCAAAUGUCUCAGCUGUUGCACUACCAUGUAAUUUCAGUGUUGACAUCACACUAAAUGAAGGCCAAAGCAGCACUGGCGCCACUAAAGAAGAAAGUUGAGAAGCGGUGAUAAUAGGGGGAUCUUAUUGAAGACCAGCAGCAAAGAAACCAAACUUCACACACACAUUCUCAGCUACUUCCACUAACGGUUUCUGUCUCCUCCAAACCCAGAUGACUGCUGUGUUGUUUUUCUCCGCACCUUUGACCCCCGCCCGACUGCUUGUGUGUUAUCUAUUGCUAUUUAAAAUAAGUUUUCUUAAUGAUAUGACAACCAUGUAUUUAUAGAAUGAUUUAUAACGGUGAUUAAAAUUGUAAUCUUUUGUGACAAG